AGAGUUUGAUCCUGGCUCAGGAUGAACGCUGGCGGCGUGCUUAACACAUGCAAGUCGAACGAACCUUCGGGUUAGUGGCGGACGGGUGAGUAACGCGUGGGAAUCUGCCCUUAGGAGGGGGAUAACGGCUGGAAACGGCCGCUAAUACCCCAUAUGCCGAAAGGUGAAACGAAUUUCGCCUGAGGAUGAGCCCGCGUCUGAUUAGCUUGUUGGUGAGGUAAUGGCUCACCAAGGCUUCGAUCAGUAGCUGGUCUGAGAGGAUGAUCAGCCACACUGGGACUGAGACACGGCCCAGACUCCUACGGGAGGCAGCAGUGGGGAAUUUUCCGCAAUGGGCGAAAGCCUGACGGAGCAACGCCGCGUGGGGGAUGAAGGCCUCUGGGCUGUAAACCUCUUUUCUCAAGGAAGAAGAUCUGACGGUACUUGAGGAAUAAGCCACGGCUAAUUCCGUGCCAGCAGCCGCGGUAAUACGGGAGUGGCAAGCGUUAUCCGGAAUUAUUGGGCGUAAAGCGUCCGCAGGCGGCCUUUCAAGUCUGCUGUUAAAACGUGGAGCUUAACUCCAUCAAGGCAGUGGAAACUGUUGGGCUUGAGUGUGGUAGGGGCAGAGGGAAUUCCCGGUGUAGCGGUGAAAUGCGUAGAUAUCGGGAAGAACACCAGUGGCGAAGGCGCUCUGCUGGGCCAUAACUGACGCUCAUGGACGAAAGCCAGGGGAGCGAAAGGGAUUAGAUACCCCUGUAGUCCUGGCCGUAAACGAUGAACACUAGGUGUCGGGGGAAUCGACCCCCUCGGUGUCGUAGCCAACGCGUUAAGUGUUCCGCCUGGGGAGUACGCACGCAAGUGUGAAACUCAAAGGAAUUGACGGGGGCCCGCACAAGCGGUGGAGUAUGUGGUUUAAUUCGAUGCAACGCGAAGAACCUUACCAGGGUUUGACAUCCUGCGAACCUCUAAGAAAUUGGAGGGUGCCUUCGGGAACGCAGUGACAGGUGGUGCAUGGCUGUCGUCAGCUCGUGUCGUGAGAUGUUGGGUUAAGUCCCGCAACGAGCGCAACCCACGUUUUUAGUUGCCAGCAUUCAGUUGGGCACUCUAGAAAGACCGCCGGUGAUAAACCGGAGGAAGGUGUGGAUGACGUCAAGUCAUCAUGCCCCUUACAUCCUGGGCUACACACGUACUACAAUGCUACGGACAAAGGGCAGCGAACUCGCGAGGGCAAGCAAAUCCCAUAAACCGUGGCUCAGUUCAGAUCGUAGGCUGCAACUCGCCUACGUGAAGGAGGAAUCGCUAGUAAUCGCAGGUCAGCAUACUGCGGUGAAUACGUUCCCGGGCCUUGUACACACCGCCCGUCACACCAUGGAAGUUGGCCACGCCCGAAGUCGUUACUCCAACCCUUGUGGAGGAGGACGCCGAAGGUGGGGCUGAUGACUGGGGUGAAGUCGUAACAAGGUAGCCGUACCGGAAGGUGCGGCUG
Molecule: ribosomal RNA, 1465 nt
Filed under: Prochlorococcus sp. AG-409-B05
Lineage: Bacteria; Bacillati; Cyanobacteriota; Cyanophyceae; Synechococcales; Prochlorococcaceae
Description: bacterial SSU rRNA
Rfam family: Bacterial small subunit ribosomal RNA
Source: RNAcentral